RNAcentral lists this ribosomal RNA (497 nucleotides) under uncultured bacterium. RNAcentral's name for it is "partial 16S ribosomal RNA". It matches the Rfam family "Bacterial small subunit ribosomal RNA", at positions 28 to 507 of the family's 1533-position model. The record is from RNAcentral.
GAUGAACGCUGGCGGCGUGCCUAAUACAUGCAAGUCGAGCGAACAGACGAGGAGCUUGCUCCUCUGACGUUAGCGGCGGACGGGUGAGUAACACGUGGAUAACCUACCUAUAAGACUGGGAUAACUUCGGGAAACCGGAGCUAAUACCGGAUAAUAUAUUGAACCGCAUGGUUCAAUAGUGAAAGACGGUUUUGCUGUCACUUAUAGAUGGAUCCGCGCCGCAUUAGCUAGUUGGUAAGGUAACGGCUUACCAAGGCAACGAUGCGUAGCCGACCUGAGAGGGUGAUAGGCCACACUGGAACUGAGACAAGGUCCAGACUCCUACGGGAGGCAGCAGUAGGGAAUCUUCCGCAAUGGGCGAAAGCUUGACGGAGCAACGCCGCGUGAGUGAUGAAGGUCUUCGGAUCGUAAAACUCUGUUAUUAGGGAAGAACAAAUGUGUAAGUAACUAUGCACGUCUUGACGGUACCUAAUCAGAAAGCCACGGCUAACUACGUG